GUGCUCGCUUCAGCCGCACAUAUACUAAAAUUGUAACGAAAGAGAAGAUUAGCAUGGCCCCUGCGUGAGGAUGACAUGCAAAUUCGUGAACCAUUCCAUAUUUUU
Small nuclear RNA from Tursiops truncatus (common bottlenose dolphin), 105 nucleotides. The record is from Ensembl. Lineage: Eukaryota; Metazoa; Chordata; Mammalia; Artiodactyla; Delphinidae.